GCCCAGCUCAUCAGUCACGUCGUCAAUGUUGCUCUGUUGCUCCAGUAGCGGAAUUGGCUGUUUUUCUCUCUAGAAUAAAUGUUAAAUGCCUCUAAACACAGAAACAAAUUAAAGACGUUUCCUGGUAAAAUGUGCAGUGGAAAUCGCCAGUUUACGUUUCGACGUGCAGUGAACACCAAAUAUUAUAAAAAUACAAUAACCAGUUGUAUAUUACCAGUGUGGGCAAAUUGCCAAGAUUAUGAUGGGCGGAAAAGAGGAUUAAGAUACGGAAUACCCAAGGUCUCCGGAUCCGGUUACCUAACGGCAGCCAUCUUCGACCGCAAGAACUAAGUGUGUCUUGAAGUGCUACCGCAAUUCCUAGGUUGGCCUAUGGACUCGAGCUUUGAAUGUAAAUCAGAAGGUAAUGACAUUGAGUGAAGACGGCCUACUCAGUCGAACUGUCUUCAAAGACCACCGAGGUCCUGCUUUGAAUAUAUUACUAGUGGGAACGUUAGUGCUUAAUUGGUAGCCCUGAGCCACAUCCAACCAGUUACGUCUUUCCUGCAUUCUAAACUAAGUUUAAUGAAGUGAGAGUGCAGAUUUCUCGUCUCUCAUUACUGUUUUUAUUCCCUGGUGUGUGUGUUUCUUAUUGUCUGCCAUGGCUUUGAGUCGCAAUGGGAGAAAAAAUCGGGAAAAGAAAGCUCCUGUGAGAGCAUCACGAAAACAGUAACAAAUGCCCAGAUUCCUGAAUAUCUCGCUAAUUAGAAAAAUUAGUCAGAAGGAGCAACUGUGUCAAAAUUCCUUUGUUGGAAGUCAACAGAUAUUCCGUUUUCCUACAGCGAAGUGGAAAGCACACACCAUUUCAUCUGAAAAGCACAAAGUUAAAGGUUAAGUAUUUUAAGCGUGUUCCAUAACUAAUCUAGUUAAUUUUGCUAUUUUGACUCGAACCAUUAAAUUUUUGUAAAUAAAGAUCCCUGCUAGUUGUUAUGGUACUUACCC
Molecule: long non-coding RNA, 978 nt
Filed under: Scleropages formosus (Asian bonytongue)
Lineage: Eukaryota; Metazoa; Chordata; Actinopteri; Osteoglossiformes; Osteoglossidae
Description: lncRNA (ENSSFOG00015031193.1)
Source: RNAcentral